Molecule: ribosomal RNA, 450 nt
Filed under: uncultured bacterium
Lineage: Bacteria
Description: partial 16S ribosomal RNA
Rfam family: Bacterial small subunit ribosomal RNA
Source: RNAcentral
GUGAGGAAUUUUGCGCAAUGGCCGCAAGGCUGACGCAGCAACGCCGCGUGGGUGAUGAAGGCCUUCGGGUCGUAAAGCCCUGUCAGGUGGGAAGAAAGGCCUGGAGAGGAAAGGUUUCAGGUUUGACGGUACCACCAGAGGAAGCACCGGCUAACUCCGUGCCAGCAGCCGCGGUAAUACGGAGGGUGCGAGCGUUAUUCGGAAUUACUGGGCGUAAAGCGCGUGUAGGCGGGGGGACAAGUCUGAUGUGAAAGCCCUGGGCUUAACCUGGGAAGCGCAUUGGAAACUGUUUUUCUUGAGUACUGGAGAGGAAGGGGGAAUUCCCGGUGUAGAGGUGAAAUUCGUAGAGAUCGGGAGGAAUACCAGUGGCGUAGGCGCCCUUCUGGACGGUAACUGACGCUGAGACGCGAAAGCGUGGGGAGCAAACAGGAUUAGAUACCCUUGUAGUCC